GGUCAAGCGAACAAGUGCAUGUGGUGGAUGCCUUGGCGAUCACAGGCGAUGAAGGACGCGGUAGCCUGCGAAAAGCUACGGGGAGCUGGCAAACGAGCUUUGAUCCGUAGAUGUCCGAAUGGGGAAACCCACUCCUUAUGGAGUAUCCAUGGCUGAAUACAUAGGCCAUGCGAAGCGAACGCGGUGAACUGAAACAUCUAAGUAACCGCAGGAAAAGAAAUC
RNAcentral lists this ribosomal RNA (222 nucleotides) under Burkholderia vietnamiensis. RNAcentral describes it as "partial 23S ribosomal RNA". It matches the Rfam family "Bacterial large subunit ribosomal RNA", at positions 1 to 226 of the family's 2925-position model. The record is from RNAcentral. Lineage: Bacteria; Pseudomonadati; Pseudomonadota; Betaproteobacteria; Burkholderiales; Burkholderiaceae. RNAcentral also lists the same sequence under 1 other name.